CAGUAGCCGCGGGAAUACGUAGGUGGCAAGCGUUGUCCGGAUUUAUUGGGCGUAAAUCGAGCGCAGGCGGUUUCUUAAGUCUGAUGUGAAAGCCCCCGGCUCAACCGGGGAGGGUCAUUGGAAACUGGGAGACUUGAGUGCAGAAGAGGAGAGUGGAAUUCCAUGUGUAGCGGUGAAAUGCGUAGAUAUAUGGAGGAACACCAGUGGCGAAGGCGGCUCUCUGGUCUGUAACUGACGCUGAGGCUCGAAAGCGUGGGGAGCGAACAGGAUUAGAUACCCAGUAGUCCCUGUCUCUUAUACA
RNAcentral lists this ribosomal RNA (301 nucleotides) under uncultured bacterium. RNAcentral describes it as "partial 16S ribosomal RNA". It matches the Rfam family "Bacterial small subunit ribosomal RNA", at positions 509 to 808 of the family's 1533-position model. The record is from RNAcentral.